This 438-nucleotide long non-coding RNA is filed under the name Malus domestica (apple). RNAcentral's name for it is "long non-coding RNA (MDOM_LNC001660)". Lineage: Eukaryota; Viridiplantae; Streptophyta; Magnoliopsida; Rosales; Rosaceae. The record is from RNAcentral.
UGAUGCACAGCUUCCGCUAUUUAUAGCACUGGACCCCGACUCUGAGAUAGAAUCCCAUUCGGACUAGGUUUUCCCUCUCCGGAUCAAUAUCACCUCGACCAGUCCUGUUUUCAUUAGGAUUGUGAACCUAGUCCUUAUUCGAGCCCUAUCCGCUUCUAGGUUGUUAAUCCUGCCGAGAAUCCCUAUUGUAUCAGGACUCGGCUUGUCAUUGCAUUUUGACCUAACUGGCCUAGGUUUGGAAGCCCAUAAGCUGAACGAUCCAUGGUCUUCUUGUCGCAAGGCCUUCCGGGCCGAGAAUGGCUCUACACUCGGCCCAAACUAUUAUUUUGGGCCCAAACAUUGCCCCCUCGCUUCUGAGGUCCUCGGCCUGCAAUCUUCGGCCGAGUUCCGGCCUUGAAGAAGCGAAUCUACCACUCAGAAUCCUCAUACCCGAGUUCC